GAAAUGCGAUACUUGGUGUCAAUUGCAGAAUCUCGCGAACCAUCGAGUCUUUGAACGCAAGUUGCGCCCGAAGCCAUUAGGUUGAGGGCACGUCUGCCUGGGCGUCUCACAUUGCGUUGCCCGCGCCCCCUCUCCCCCCUUCCCCUUGUUGAAAAGGGGGGAAAGGAGGAAGGGCUGCGAGUGGAUGUUGGCACCCCGCGCUCGACCGCGUACGGUCGGCCCAAAAGCGAGUCCCCUGCGACGGACGACGCGUCACGACGAGUGGUGGUUGACACACCAUUGCGUCGCCUCGUGCGCAUCCGGGCCGUCUCGGGAGGCCUGUCGUGACCCUAUCGCGCCGCCGCCAAGGCAUUCCGAUCACGAUCCCAGGUCAAGCGGGAUUACCCGCUGAGUUUAA
Molecule: unclassified non-coding RNA, 397 nt
Filed under: uncultured fungus
Lineage: Eukaryota; Fungi
Description: sequence contains ITS1
Rfam family: 5.8S ribosomal RNA (bases 1-107)
Source: RNAcentral